Molecule: ribosomal RNA, 497 nt
Filed under: uncultured bacterium
Lineage: Bacteria
Description: partial 16S ribosomal RNA
Rfam family: Bacterial small subunit ribosomal RNA
Source: RNAcentral
GAUGAACGCUGGCGGCGUGCCUAAUACAUGCAAGUCGAGCGAACAGACGAGGAGCUUGCUCCUCUGACGUUAGCGGCGGACGGGUGAGUAACACGUGGAUAACCUACCUAUAAGACUGGGAUAACUUCGGGAAACCGGAGCUAAUACCGGAUAAUAUAUUGAACCGCAUGGUUCAAUAGUGAAAGACGGUUUUGCUGGCACUUAUAGAUGGAUCCGCGCCGCAUUAGCUAGUUGGUAAGGUAGCGGCUUACCAAGGCAACGAUGCGUAGCCGACCUGAGAGGGUGAUCGGCCACACUGGAACUGAGACACGGUCCAGACUCCUACGGGAGGCAGCAGUAGGGAAUCUUCCGCAAUGGGCGAAAGCCUGACGGAGCAACGCCGCGUGAGUGAUGAAGGUCUUCGGAUCGUAAAACUCUGUUAUUAGGGAAGAACAAAUGUGUAAGUAACUAUGCACGUCUUGACGGUACCUAAUCAGAAAGCCACGGCUAACUACGUG